This 255-nucleotide ribosomal RNA is filed under the name uncultured bacterium. RNAcentral's name for it is "partial 16S ribosomal RNA". It matches the Rfam family "Bacterial small subunit ribosomal RNA", at positions 524 to 777 of the family's 1533-position model. The record is from RNAcentral.
UACGUAGGGCGCAAGCGUUAUCCGGAAUUAUUGGGCGUAAAGAGCUCGUAGGCGGUUUGUCGCGUCGGCUGUGAAAACCUGGGGCUUAACUCCGGGCCUGCAGCCGAUACGGGCAGACUAGAGUUCGGCAGGGGAGACUGGAAUUCCUGGUGUAGCGGUGAAAUGCGCAGAUAUCAGGAGGAACACCGGUGGCGAAGGCGGGUCUCUGGGCCGAAUACUGACGCUGAGGUGCGAAAGCGUGGGGAGCAAACAGGA